RNAcentral lists this transfer RNA (85 nucleotides) under Motilimonas eburnea. RNAcentral describes it as "tRNA-Leu". It matches the Rfam family "tRNA". From Rfam's summary of the family: Transfer RNA (tRNA) molecules are approximately 80 nucleotides in length. Lineage: Bacteria; Pseudomonadati; Pseudomonadota; Gammaproteobacteria; Alteromonadales. The record is from RNAcentral. RNAcentral also lists the same sequence under 5 other names.
GCGGAAGUGGUGAAAUUGGUAGACACGCUAGAUUUAGGUUCUAGUGCCGCAAGGUGUGAGAGUUCAAGUCUCUCCUUCCGCACCA